UAGGGAAUCUUCGGCAAUGGACGGAAGUCUGACCGAGCAACGCCGCGUGAGUGAAGAAGGUUUUCGGAUCGUAAAGCUCUGUUGUAAGAGAAGAACGAGUGUGAGAGUGGAAAGUUCACACUGUGACGGUAUCUUACCAGAAAGGGACGGCUAACUACGUGCCAGCAGCCGCGGUAAUACGUAGGUCCCGAGCGUUGUCCGGAUUUAUUGGGCGUAAAGCGAGCGCAGGCGGUUAGAUAAGUCUGAAGUUAAAGGCUGUGGCUUAACCAUAGUACGCUUUGGAAACUGUUUAACUUGAGUGCAAGAGGGGAGAGUGGAAUUCCAUGUGUUNCGGUGAAAUGCGUAGAUAUAUGGAGGAACACCGGUGGCGCGAAAGCGGCUCUCUGGCUUGUAACUGACGCUGAGGCUCGAAAGCGUGGGGAGCAAACAGGAUUAGAUACCCUGGUAGUCCACGCCGUAAACGAUGAGUGCUAGGUGUUAGACCCUUUCCGGGGUUUAGUGCCGCAGCUAACGCAUUAAGCACUCCGCCUGGGGAGUACGACCGCAAGGUUG
Molecule: ribosomal RNA, 552 nt
Filed under: uncultured bacterium
Lineage: Bacteria
Description: bacterial SSU rRNA
Rfam family: Bacterial small subunit ribosomal RNA
Source: RNAcentral